This 1010-nucleotide long non-coding RNA is filed under the name Taeniopygia guttata (zebra finch). Its description in RNAcentral is "lncRNA (ENSTGUG00000022974.1)". Lineage: Eukaryota; Metazoa; Chordata; Aves; Passeriformes; Estrildidae. The record is from RNAcentral.
GGGCGGGUAAGGGACCCCCUCCCUGUCAUGGGAAAAGCAGGAAUAUGUUGGAGCACGAAGAUUUUUUGGGAUUCAUGGAAUUUCCCGGCUGAAACAUCCCAAAAAAGAGGCUCUGGGAUGUGCGAGGUGGCAAUUCCAGCCCGGCAGCAGCAGCGGGAUGAUCCCUCUGGAAUGUCCCCGGGGUGGGUGAGGGAAGGACUGUGAUGAGGGAGAGGGAAAAUAAAGGGAAAAGGAGAACUCCAAACCCUCGCUCAGACCUGGAGGUUUCACUCCCUGCUCCCAAAUCCCUAAAGUUUGGUCCUUUCCCCACUCCCAAAUCCUGAAGGUUUGGUUCAUUCUCUCCAAAAUCCCAAAUAUUUGGUCCUUUCCCCACUCCCAAAGGUUUGGUUCAUUCUGUGUUCCCAAAUCCCAAAUAUCUGGUUCAUUCCCUGCUCCUGAAUCCCAAAGUUUUGGUCCUUUCCCCACUCCCAAAUCCUGAGGUUUUGGAUGGUUCUCAGCUCCCAAAUCCCGAAGGUUUGGUCCUUUCCCCGCUCCCAAAUCCCAAAGGUUUGGUUCGUUCCCUGCUCUUGAAUCCCAAAGUUUUGGUCCUUUCCCUGCUCCUAAAUCCCCAAAUCCCAAAGUUUUGGUCCUUUCCCUGCUCCCAAAUCCCAAAGGUUUGGAUGGUUCUCAGCUCCCAAAUCCCAAAGGUUUGGUUCAUUCUGUGCUCCUGAAUCCCAAAGGUUUGGUCCUUUCCCUGCUCCUAAAUCCCCAAAUCCCGAAGGUUUGGUCCUUUUCCCGCUCCCAAAUCCCAAAGUUUUGGAUGGUUCUCAGCUCCCAAAUCCCAAAGGUUUGGUCCUUUCCCUGCUCCCAAAUCCCAAAGGUUUGCAUUUUUCCCUGUUCCUGAAUCCCAAAGGUUUGGUUCAUUCCAUACUCCUCAAUCCCAAAGAUUUGCUUUGUUCCCCUAUCCCAAAUCCCAAAGGUGUGGUCCUUUCCCUGCUCCCAAAUCCUGAAAGUUUGGUUCAUUUCCUGGU